Molecule: ribosomal RNA, 165 nt
Filed under: uncultured bacterium
Lineage: Bacteria
Description: partial 16S rRNA
Rfam family: Bacterial small subunit ribosomal RNA
Source: RNAcentral
UAGGGAAUCUUCGGCAAUGGGGCGAACCCUGACCGAGCAACGCCGCGUGAGUGAAGAAGGUUUUCGGAUCGUAAAGCUCUGUUGUAAGAGAAGAACGUGUGUGAGAGUGGAAAGUUCACACAGUGACGGUAACUUACCAGAAAGGGACGGCUAACUACGUGCCAG